This is a long non-coding RNA of Ornithorhynchus anatinus (platypus), 493 nucleotides long. RefSeq lists it as uncharacterized. The transcript has 4 exons. NCBI's taxonomy places the organism in Eukaryota, Metazoa, Chordata, Mammalia, Monotremata, Ornithorhynchidae. The record is from RefSeq and is a predicted model, not a curated record.
GCCAUUUUGGGAAGGCCUCACUCCCUCUUCCCUCUUGAGAUGGAGAAUUUACAGGCAAAGGCCAGUCUAUAUCUUUCUACUGUGCAAUAACCUGAAAAGUGAUACACAUUUCAACAGGUUUUAAGGGGCCUCAGUAAAUAACAUGGAACAUGACUCAAGAAAGCACUGUUACCUAAGCUCUGUGAAUAGACUUGCAAGAAAGAUGAUUCCCACUAUCACUAGACAAGUGAUUCUGUGAGGCUCAAAUCACUGAACCUGCUAUGCUCAGAGGCCAGCUUUAUUGAUCCUCAUCCUGCGAGAAUAGAUAGUUUAAAGAAUGACUUUUCUUCAGAUCAACUGGAUAAAAUAAUACCUGUAUUCCUCCUGGGUGAAGAGUGGAAUUUCUGAUGGCUGUAAAACUACAACUUUCACAAGGGCAGUGCUGGACAUUACAGGAUCUCCAUCAUCAUAAGCAAUUACAGCCAACUGUGAAUAAAUAAACAAUGAAGCAAUA